This 220-nucleotide ribosomal RNA is filed under the name Bacillus sp. R-28349. RNAcentral describes it as "partial 16S ribosomal RNA". It matches the Rfam family "Bacterial small subunit ribosomal RNA", at positions 195 to 408 of the family's 1533-position model. Lineage: Bacteria; Bacillati; Bacillota; Bacilli; Caryophanales; Bacillaceae. The record is from RNAcentral.
CAAUCAUAAAAGGUGGCUUUYAGCUACCACUUACAGAUGGACCCGCGGCGCAUUAGCUAGUUGGUGAGGUAACGGCUCACCAAGGCGACGAUGCGUAGCCGACCUGAGAGGGUGAUCGGCCACACUGGGACUGAGACACGGCCCAGACUCCUACGGGAGGCAGCAGUAGGGAAUCUUCCGCAAUGGACGAAAGUCUGACGGAGCAACGCCGCGUGAGUGA